GCAGGCGGUAAAAAGUAUACGGAGGCUCGCAGGCACACUGUCUCUUCGUCUGGGGUGCGUGUUCCAAACAUUGCUCCUGUAGCCACAAAUGUAGCUUCCGCUUGCUGUGGUACAUCCACGAACAGCGCAAGAUGUUCCCGAACCACACGAUUUUUUUACAUUUUUGGGGGCUAAAUCGUAUUGAUAAGCUCUCAGAGUUAUUCGGAUAAACAGCUAACUCGAACGCUAACUUACAGUUCUUUUCAAUGGCCAAAUACUACUUCCGGUUAGCUCAUCUGAAGUUGGGUGCACGAUAGUUUCUACAUGAGCCGGGCCAGGAAUAAAGUGGAUAG
Thalassophryne amazonica is the source of this 332-nucleotide long non-coding RNA. RefSeq lists it as uncharacterized. The transcript is spliced from 3 exons. The record is from RefSeq and is a predicted model, not a curated record. NCBI's taxonomy places the organism in Eukaryota, Metazoa, Chordata, Actinopteri, Batrachoidiformes, Batrachoididae.